UUUUUUUCCUGUACAUCUGCAACGUAGACAUCAGCAGUGAGACUUGAAUUCUCUGCCAGAGGAAGUGGUCAUGGUGAACUCAAUAAAAGAGUUCAAAAGAGGCCUGGAUACAGAAUAAUAUUACAGGUGGAGAUAGUAUGUGGAGAUGAUGUGCUAUAACGUCUCCCAUACACUGCACACCCAGAAGUACACCUUAAGAAGCAGCAGCAGCAUGGACAACAUUAUAGAGCAGUAUUGAGCGGCAUAAGCUGUGAAUCCAGCACUGGGGAACAGUCCUAUGCAAGUGAAUGGCAGUGGCACUGCAAGAAGAACGAGACCACCACAAUGACAGCAGAAAAUUGGAUAAUGGCGGCCAUUAGACUGUAUAAAAGUAUAAUAAAUUUGGCUAAGAGCUGCGUGGAAAAUGGGGCCCAUUCUGAUUUAGGCACAGGGUCCUAUGAUUCCUGCCUACACCAUUGCUGAACCACGCACGAUAUCUGCUGCUGACUGAUCUUUUUAAUAGCUCUAAUAUUUUUUUUUUAAUUAAAGAAUCUUUCUAUAAAAUGCUUUUCCUUAUUAAAC
Hyla sarda is the source of this 561-nucleotide long non-coding RNA. RefSeq lists it as uncharacterized. The transcript has 3 exons. The record is from RefSeq and is a predicted model, not a curated record. NCBI's taxonomy places the organism in Eukaryota, Metazoa, Chordata, Amphibia, Anura, Hylidae.